This 1393-nucleotide ribosomal RNA is filed under the name uncultured Microgenomates group bacterium. RNAcentral's name for it is "uncultured Microgenomates bacterium 16S ribosomal RNA". It matches the Rfam family "Bacterial small subunit ribosomal RNA". The record is from RNAcentral.
GAACGCUGGCGGUGUGCCUUAAGCAUGCAAGUCGAGCGGGUCCGCAAGGACCAGCGGCAGACGGGUCAGUAACACGUACGAAUCUACCUCAAUGUGGGGAAUAGCUGCCCGAAAGGGCAGGUAAUACCGCAUGUGAUCGCAAGAUCAAAGACGCAAGUCGCAUUGAGAGGAGCGUGCGCGCUAUCAGGUUGUUGGUGGGGUAAUGGCCUACCAAGCCUACGACGGCUAGCCGAUGUGAGAGCAUGAUCGGCGACAAGGUAACUGAGACACGGUGCCUACACCUACGGGUGGCAGCAACUGGGAAUUUUGCGCAAUGGGCGAAAGCCUGACGCAGCGACACCGCGUGUGGGAAUAAGGCCUUAGGGUCGUAAACCACUGUGGCGAGGGAUGAAUUUUGACAGUACCUCGCAAGAAAGCACCUGCUAACCACGUGCCAGAAGCCUCGGUAAUACGUGGGGUGCAAGCGUUAUCCGGAUUUACUGGGCGUAAAGCGUACCGUCGGUGGUCGAGUAAGUUUCUUGUUUAAGCCUGGGGCCUAACUCCAGAAAGGCGAGGAAAACUACUUGACUUGAGUCUGUUCGGGGAAUUUGGAAUUCUCAGUGGAGGGGUGAAAUCCGUAGAUAUUGAGAGGAACACCAUACGCGAAGGCAGAAUUCUAGGGCAUGACUGACACUCAGGGACGACAGCUCGGGAGCAAAAGGGAUUAGAGACCCCUGUAGUCCGAGCCGUAAACAUUCUUUGCUAGCUGGUCCCAUUCUGUGGGGCUGGCGCAAGCUAACGCGUUAAGCAAAGCGCCUGGGGAGUACGACCGCAAGGUUAAAACUCAAAGGAAUUGACGGGGGAGCGCACAACCGGUGGAGCAUGUGGUUUAAUUCGAUACGAAGCGAAAGACCUUACCCAGGUUUGACAUGUAUCUGCACGGCCUAGGAAACUAGGCUUUCUUCGAGAGUGAUACACAGGUGAUGCAUGGCUGUCGUCAGCUCGUGUCGUGAGACGUCCGCUUAAGUGCGGUAACGAGCGCAACCCUUAUCUUCAGUUAUAUUUGUCUGAAGAGACUGCCCUGGUUUCUACCAGGGAGGAAGGAGAGGACGACGUCAAGUCAGCACGUCCCUUACAUCUGGGGCUACACACAUCCUACAAUGGAGCCGACAACAGGAAGCGACAGGGCAACCUUGAGCAAAUCCCUAUAAACGGCCCCUCAGUUCGGAUUGAGGGCUGCAACCCGCCCUCAUGAAGCCGGAAUCGGUAGUAAUCGCAAAUCAGCAGGUUGCGGUGAAUACGUUCUCGCUCCUUGUACACACUGCCCGUCAAGCCAGCAAAGUUGGCAACGCCCGAAGCGGAUGACCGGAACUCGCAAGAGACCGGCUCUUCUACGGCGAGGUCAGCGAUGAGG